CAUGAAGAAGAGGCACCAGCCCCUGACAGCUGGUGGCUCUUUCCGUGGUUUAUGGCCGGAUGCUGGUCAUCUACAGGACGGGAGGCCCCAAGAGGCCGGGUUCGCUUGGCUGGCAGCUGCAUCCCAGCAUCGGUCAUCGUGCACACGUGCCAAAUGGAUGAAGAUAUGCCUGACCGGCCCCUACUUCCCGACCUGCCUCCCGCAAUUGGCUUGUCUGGAGAGGAGGUGUAAGGAGAAUGAAGCUGGAACACCUGAAUUCUACCAUCCAGGAGUCUGAAGACAAAUGAAGUAGGAAAGGUCCUCACCUGUAAUGGGGAGGACAAGGACGCUCCUGGCCACAGGCUGGCACAUCCCGCAGUCAGCGGCGGUGACCC
Long non-coding RNA from Aethalodelphis obliquidens (Pacific white-sided dolphin), 374 nucleotides. RefSeq lists it as uncharacterized. NCBI's taxonomy places the organism in Eukaryota, Metazoa, Chordata, Mammalia, Artiodactyla, Delphinidae. The record is from RefSeq and is a predicted model, not a curated record. The transcript is spliced from 3 exons.